This is a long non-coding RNA of Oncorhynchus tshawytscha (Chinook salmon), 867 nucleotides long. RefSeq lists it as uncharacterized. Lineage: Eukaryota; Metazoa; Chordata; Actinopteri; Salmoniformes; Salmonidae. The transcript is spliced from 3 exons. The record is from RefSeq and is a predicted model, not a curated record.
UGUGUGUGUGUGUGUCCCUGUGUGUGUGUCUGUGUGUGCGUGUGUGUGUGUGUGCGCCAUCCUUGUGUGUUUGUGCCAUGUCCAUUUGUGUGUGUAUGUGCGGGUGGGUGGGUGUGUGUUUACACAACCUCCAGUUGUUAUAGCUGAGACAGACCAUACGGUAUAUUUAAACCAUGACAUCACCACCAGUCCCUCCAAUCGCAGACAUCCUCCAGUAGUGUGGAGAUGGAUCAGUAUAUCACUGCACAGCACGUAAUGAAGGUCCUGUUAUAUGUUAGAGGGUUGUUAGUCCUGCUAUAUAGUUAGUCUGUUAUAUGUUAGAGGGGUGUUAGUCCUGCUAUAUAGUUAGUCUGUUAUAUGUUAUAUGUUAGAGGGUUGUUAGUCCUGCUAUAUAGUUAGUCCUGCUAUAUAGUUAGUCUGUUAUAUGUUAUAUGUUAGAGGGUUGUUAGUCCUGCUAUAUAGUUAGUCUGUUAUAUGUUAGAGGGGUGUUAGUCCUGCUAUAUAGUUAGUCUGUUAUAUGUUAGAGGGGUGUUAGUCCUGCUAUAUAGUUAGUCUGUUAUAUGUUAGAGGGGUGUUAGUCCUGCUAUAUAGUUAGUCUGUUAUAUGUUAUAUUUUAGAGGGGUGUUAGUCCUGCUAUAUAGUUAGUCUGUUAUAUGUUAGAGGGUUGUUAGUCCUGCUAUAUAGUUAGUCUGUUAUAUGUUAUAUGUUAGAGGGGUGUUAGUCCUGCUGUAUAGUUAGUCUGUUAUAUGUUAUAUUAUACUUAAUGCUACUUACAGGCAUCUAGUAGUAACUAUGUCCUUCUUUCCACUUGUCAAUAACACACACACACACACACACACACACACACACAGACACAGGCAUACACAC